Molecule: long non-coding RNA, 1477 nt
Organism: Pseudopodoces humilis (Tibetan ground-tit)
Lineage: Eukaryota; Metazoa; Chordata; Aves; Passeriformes; Paridae
Source: RefSeq, a predicted model, not a curated record
CCAAAGGAUCCCAAGAAAUAAAGCUGCAACUGCCAUCUCAGCAAAGGGAAAGAGCCUCAUUUUUAGGGCCUCAUCUGGCAAGCUAAAACUACCUCCCCAGCCUCCCUGCCCGCUGCGAGAUGGACAGUGGUAACAGAGAGGCUGGGGACAGAGUUACAAUAGCAGGUCUCAAGGUGGGUUCGACCCCCUAAAACCGACUGGAAACACAGGUGACUCGCAAGCCUGGGCACAUCAGCUACCUUGAAAAGCUAAGAUUAUAGUUUACAAGGACUGGAUUGGUAACUUCCUCACGUCCAGGGGAACCCAAUCCACACAGGACACGUUUCUACUGGUUGGCAAUGUAAGAAUGGUGAGUCAGGCCAGCCGGCUCAGCAGGUGAAGACGUGCAGGAGCCGAGCUGGGAUCAGAUCUAAUUAUUGGACUGUCAUUGGAGUGGACUUGCAGGACAAUUCACAAGACCUGGCUGAACUGGAUAAUAGAAAAAACCUCACACUCAAACCCAUGAUGAGUCUUACCUCAGCUAUCCUCCUGCUCCCUCUGAGCAGCCUGACAGCAGCCUGGAUCGUCCCUCAACCACAACAGAACAUCUGGGUGACCCCGGCACAAGCACUCCAACAAGAGAGCAUCUGCCUGUCACUGCAGCAGCAAAAGACCCUAUGUCCACCUGUCUGGUAGGAAUCCCACUGCAGGCUGAAGAAUUUUCAGCCAGCUUUAGUGAUGCCAAGUUUAAUACAGAUCACAAAACACUCGAAAACUGUAAGCGGAGAACGGUAACAGUUAAAAACCCUGUAGAAGAGUGGCUAGCAAAAUUGCCCAGAGCAGAAAAAGAACCCCAAGAAUUAGAGCUAUUAGGUUCUGCUCCUGAACCCUUUUGUAUCCACUUUAUGUAUAACACACUGACAGACCCUAAAUUAUAUCACCAUGUAGUACAGCAUCGAAACAAAUUUAAGGCAAGGCAAUGGUGUAGUGUGCGGAAUCACGUCACAGCAGAUGAUCCUCUCUGUUCACAUCCAAGAACCCUCCCUAAAAGCAUAUUUCUGAUUUGCGGAGAUAGAGCGAGGGCAGGGAUCCCAUCUUGCCUUCGAGGAGGACCAUGUACCUUUGGGAGGCUGUCCCUGUUGGCACCUAACCAAACCCAAAUUAAAAAAUGGAUUCGAAAAGAAAAUUCAACCCACAAAAUUUACAAAAGGAACACUGACAUUUUAGAUCCAAAUUGUGAUUCUGACAUUUUUCGUUGGGCAAAAUCAAAAAGAAUUGCUGUAUCCAUAUUUCUUCCAUGCAUUGCAGCUGCCCAGGCAUUAGGUGAAUUGGGACAGUUAGAAUGCUGGGCAGUGAAACAGGCCAACUUAACAUCCACUGCCCUGAGCUCCCUCCUCGAAGACGAAGAAAUUACCAGACAAGCUACCCUCCAGAACAGGGCAGCUAUAGAUUUUCUUUUGCUUCAGCUUGGACACGAAUGCCAGGAAUUUGAAGGACU